GGCUCAGGACGAACGCUGGCGGCGUGCCUAAUACAUGCAAGUCGUACGCUUCUUUUUCCACCGGAGCUUGCUCCACCGGAAAAAGAAGAGUGGCGAACGGGUGAGUAACACGUGGGUAACCUGCCCAUCAGAAGGGGAUAACACUUGGAAACAGGUGCUAAUACCGUAUAACAAUCGAAACCGCAUGGUUUUGAUUUGAAAGGCGCUUUCGGGUGUCGCUGAUGGAUGGACCCGCGGUGCAUUAGCUAGUUGGUGAGGUAACGGCUCACCAAGGCCACGAUGCAUAGCCGACCUGAGAGGGUGAUCGGCCACAUUGGGACUGAGACACGGCCCAAACUCCUACGGGAGGCAGCAGUAGGGAAUCUUCGGCAAUGGACGAAAGUCUGACCGAGCAACGCCGCGUGAGUGAAGAAGGUUUUCGGAUCGUAAAACUCUGUUGUUAGAGAAGAACAAGGAUGAGAGUAACUGUUCAUCCCUUGACGGUAUCUAACCAGAAAGCCACGGCUAACUACGUGCCAGCAGCCGCGGUAAUACGUAGGUGGCAAGCGUUGUCCGGAUUUAUUGGGCGUAAAGCGAGCGCAGGCGGUUUCUUAAGUCUGAUGUGAAAGCCCCCGGCUCAACCGGGGAGGGUCAUUGGAAACUGGGAGACUUGAGUGCAGAAGAGGAGAGUGGAAUUCCAUGUGUAGCGGUGAAAUGCGUAGAUAUAUGGAGGAACACCAGUGGCGAAGGCGGCUCUCUGGUCUGUAACUGACGCUGAGGCUCGAAAGCGUGGGGAGCAAACAGGAUUAGAUACCCUGGUAGUCCACGCCGUAAACGAUGAGUGCUAAGUGUUGGAGGGUUUCCGCCCUUCAGUGCUGCAGCUAACGCAUUAAGCACUCCGCCUGGGGAGUACGACCGCAAGGUUGAAACUCAAAGGAAUUGACGGGGGCCCGCACAAGCGGUGGAGCAUGUGGUUUAAUUCGAAGCAACGCGAAGAACCUUACCAGGUCUUGACAUCCUUUGACCACUCUAGAGAUAGAGCUUCCCCUUCGGGGGCAAAGUGACAGGUGGUGCAUGGUUGUCGUCAGCUCGUGUCGUGAGAUGUUGGGUUAAGUCCCGCAACGAGCGCAACCCUUAUUGUUAGUUGCCAUCAUUCAGUUGGGCACUCUAGCAAGACUGCCGGUGACAAACCGGAGGAAGGUGGGGAUGACGUCAAAUCAUCAUGCCCCUUAUGACCUGGGCUACACACGUGCUACAAUGGGAAGUACAACGAGUCGCGAAGUCGCGAGGCUAAGCUAAUCUCUUAAAGCUUCUCUCAGUUCGGAUUGUAGGCUGCAACUCGCCUACAUGAAGCCGGAAUCGCUAGUAAUCGCGGAUCAGCACGCCGCGGUGAAUACGUUC
Molecule: ribosomal RNA, 1380 nt
Filed under: Enterococcus durans
Lineage: Bacteria; Bacillati; Bacillota; Bacilli; Lactobacillales; Enterococcaceae
Description: bacterial SSU rRNA
Rfam family: Bacterial small subunit ribosomal RNA
Source: RNAcentral